UACGUAGGGGGCAAGCGUUGUCCGGAAUCAUUGGGCGUAAAGAGCGCGUAGGCGGCCCUGUAAGUCCGCUGUGAAAGUCAAGGGCUCAACCCUUGGAUGCCGGUGGAUACUGCAGGGCUAGAGUCCGGAAGAGGCGAGUGGAAUUCCUGGUGUAGCGGUGAAAUGCGCAGAUAUCAGGAGGAAUACCGAUGGCGAAGGCAGGUCUCUGGGCUGACACUGACGCUCAUGCACGAAAGCGUGGGGAGCGAUCCGGG
Molecule: ribosomal RNA, 254 nt
Filed under: uncultured bacterium
Lineage: Bacteria
Description: partial 16S ribosomal RNA
Rfam family: Bacterial small subunit ribosomal RNA
Source: RNAcentral